This 484-nucleotide ribosomal RNA is filed under the name uncultured bacterium. RNAcentral describes it as "partial 16S ribosomal RNA". It matches the Rfam family "Bacterial small subunit ribosomal RNA", at positions 28 to 523 of the family's 1533-position model. The record is from RNAcentral.
GACGAACGCUGGCGGCGUGCCUAACACAUGCAAGUCGAACGAUGAACCCGGAGCUUGCUCCGGUGGAUUAGUGGCGAACGGGUGAGUAACACGUGAGUAACCUGCCCUUGACUCUGGGAUAACUGCGGGAAACUGUAGCUAAUACCGGAUACGACCCUCGGCGGCAUCGCCAGGGGGUGGGAAGAAUUUCGGUCAAGGAUGGACUCGCGGCCUAUCAGCUAGUUGGUGAGGUAACGGCUCACCAAGGCGACGACGGGUAGCCGGCCUGAGAGGGUGACCGGCCACACUGGGACUGAGACACGGCCCAGACUCCUACGGGAGGCAGCAGUGGGGAAUAUUGCACAAUGGGCGCAAGCCUGAUGCAGCAACGCCGCGUGAGGGAUGACGGCCUUCGGGUUGUAAACCUCUUUUAGUAGGGAAGAAGCGAAAGUGACGGUACCUGCAGAAAAAGCACCGGCUAACUACGUGCCAGCCGCCGCAGUAA